RNAcentral lists this ribosomal RNA (443 nucleotides) under uncultured bacterium. RNAcentral's name for it is "partial 16S ribosomal RNA". It matches the Rfam family "Bacterial small subunit ribosomal RNA", at positions 338 to 795 of the family's 1533-position model. The record is from RNAcentral.
CCUACGGGUGGCAGCAGUGGGGAAUAUUGGGCAAUGGGCGCAAGCCUGACCCAGCAACGCCGCGUGAAGGAAGAAGGCUCUCGGGUUGUAAACUUCUUUUUUCAGGGACGAAGAAAGUGACGGUACCUGAGGAAUAAGCCACGGCUAACUACGUGCCAGCAGCCGCGGCAAUACGUCGGUGGCAAGCGUUAUCCGGAUUUAUGGGGUGUAAAGGGCGUGUAGGCGGGAGCGCAAGUCAGAUGUGAAAACACAGGGCUCAACCCUGGGCCUGCAUUUGAUACUGUGUUUCUUGAGUGCUGGGGAGGCAAUCGGAAUGCCGUGUGUAGCGGUGAAAUGCGUAGAUAUCCGGCGGAACACCAGUGGCGAAGGCAGAUUACUGGACAGUAACUGACGCUGAGGCGCGAAAGCGUGGGGAGCAAACAGGAUUAGAUACCCGUGUAGUC